Long non-coding RNA from Hibiscus syriacus, 163 nucleotides. RefSeq lists it as uncharacterized. NCBI's taxonomy places the organism in Eukaryota, Viridiplantae, Streptophyta, Magnoliopsida, Malvales, Malvaceae. The record is from RefSeq and is a predicted model, not a curated record. The transcript has 4 exons.
CCCAUUCUCGGGCAUGAGUUGGGCAUAACUUCUGAUGAAGCAUUGAGUUUGGAGGACUUAUCUAAGCGUGCUGUUGUAUUUGGAGGAGGGUACAUUGCUGUUGAGUUUGCAUCAAUCUGGAGAGGGUUGGGUGCUGAUGUAAAUCACUUUUUCAUAAGGGAGC